AACGAACGCUGGCGGCAUGCCUAACACAUGCAAGUCGAACGAGACCUUCGGGUCUAGUGGCGCACGGGUGCGUAACGCGUGGGAACCUGCCCUUAGGUUCGGAAUAACUCCCCGAAAGGGGUGCUAAUACCGGAUAAUGUCUUCGGACCAAAGAUUUAUCGCCUUUGGAUGGGCCCGCGUUGGAUUAGCUAGUUGGUAGGGUAAAAGCCUACCAAGGCGACGAUCCAUAGCUGGUCUGGGAGGAUGAUAAGCCACACUGGGCCUGAGACACGGCCCAGACUCCGAGGGGGGGCAGCAUGGGGGAAUAUGGAAACACGGGCGAAAGCCGGAGCCAGCAAAGCCGGAAGAGUGAGGAAGGCCUGAGGGUUGAAAAACACUUUUCCCGGGAAUGAAAAUGGCAGACGCGGGGAAAAAGGUUCCGGAUAACUCCGA
RNAcentral lists this ribosomal RNA (432 nucleotides) under uncultured bacterium. RNAcentral describes it as "partial 16S ribosomal RNA". It matches the Rfam family "Bacterial small subunit ribosomal RNA", at positions 29 to 506 of the family's 1533-position model. The record is from RNAcentral.